CACCCACGUUUUUGACGCUGCCUGGCAGCUUCUGGUGCUGCUGUGCUUACUGGGAGGAAGAGGCGGGUCCUAGAUGGCUGGCGCUUGCGCAGUCGGCCUGGUGGAGAGCAAGACGGUAUUAUCUGCUGGUGGCGGCAUGUUGUUGGCUGCCGGAAUUCUCGGCUGAUGGCAGCGUUUUCGGCAGCUGUACUGGCCCAGAGAGUGCGGGAGUGAAGAGCACGGAUGUGAAACUCACCCAGAGUGGACGCUGAAGCUCAGCUGCCGGGUGUUCUUCCAGUUCUGGAGACUGCACAGCUUCCUGCUCAAUGUCAGCUGGACCUUCUUCCGGGAGAGAAGCAACUGGUGAGCAUAUGUGGCCCCCUUAGUUGUGUCCAUGUCCUGAGUGCACAAGGGGAAGGGAAGGGAUAGCCCGUUCCCAGGGGUUGGGUGGCCGAGGCUGACAUGAUGUAGACUUCC
RNAcentral lists this long non-coding RNA (456 nucleotides) under Oryctolagus cuniculus (rabbit). RNAcentral's name for it is "lncRNA (ENSOCUG00000032929.1)". The record is from RNAcentral. Lineage: Eukaryota; Metazoa; Chordata; Mammalia; Lagomorpha; Leporidae.